UGGGGGAUAUUGCACAAUGGGCGAAAGCCUGAUGCAGCGACGCCGCGUGGGGGAUGAAGGCCUUCGGGUUGUAAACUUCUUUUGCUCUGAACAAGGCGCACCAUGGGGUGCGUUGAGUGUAGGGGUUGAUUAGCGCCGGCUAACUACGUGCCAGCAGCCGCGGUAAUACGUAGGGCGCGAGCGUUGUCCGGAAUUAUUGGGCGUAAAGGGCUUGUAGGUGGCUGGUUGCGUCUGUCGUGAAAGCUCAUGGCUUAACUGUGGGUUUGCGGUGGGUACGGGCUGGCUUGAGUGCAGUAGGGGAGGCUGGAAUUCCUGGUGUAGCGGUGGAAUGCGCAGAUAUCAGGAGGAAUACCGGUGGCGAAGGCGGGUCUCUGGGCUGUUACUGACACUGAGGAGCGAAAGCAUGGGGAGCGAACAGG
This 419-nucleotide ribosomal RNA is filed under the name bacterium. Its description in RNAcentral is "partial 16S ribosomal RNA". It matches the Rfam family "Bacterial small subunit ribosomal RNA", at positions 355 to 776 of the family's 1533-position model. The record is from RNAcentral.